UUUCCGUGAAGAUAAAUUUGUCCAGUUCUGCUACUGAAUGAAAGUGAUGCGACUGAAGACUCAGAGAAA
Syngnathoides biaculeatus (alligator pipefish) is the source of this 69-nucleotide small nucleolar RNA. The record is from RefSeq and is a predicted model, not a curated record. Lineage: Eukaryota; Metazoa; Chordata; Actinopteri; Syngnathiformes; Syngnathidae.